Molecule: small RNA, 1649 nt
Filed under: Pan troglodytes (chimpanzee)
Lineage: Eukaryota; Metazoa; Chordata; Mammalia; Primates; Hominidae
Description: retained intron
Source: RNAcentral
ACAGGAAGUGUGCCCCUCUCUCAGGCAGCUGCUAACACCUGUCUUCCUUCAACUCCCACAGACAACGGCCCUGUAGGGAAGCGGCACACGGGCACAGCCACUGUGUUCGUCACGGUCCUGGAUGUGAAUGACAACCGGCCCAUCUUUCUGCAGAGCAGCUAUGAGGCCAGCGUCCCCGAGGACAUCCCUGAAGGCCACAGCAUCGUGCAGCUGAAAGCCACGGACGCAGAUGAGGGCGAGUUUGGGCGUGUGUGGUACCGCAUCCUCCAUGGUGAUUGUGUACGUGGAGGACAUCAACGAUGAGGCCCCCGUGUUCACACAGCAGCAGUACAGCCAUCUGGGGCUUCGAGAGACCGCAGGCAUUGGAACGUCAGUCAUCGUGGUCCAAGCCACAGACCGAGACUCUGGGGAUGGUGGCCUGGUGAACUACCGCAUCCUGUCGGGCACAGAGGGGAAGUUUGAGAUUGACGAGAGCACAGGGCUUAUCAUCACCGUGAAUUACCUGGACUAUGAGACCAAGACCAGCUACAUGAUGAAUGUGUCGGCCACUGACCAGGCCCCGCCCUUCAACCAGGGCUUCUGCAGCGUCUACAUCACUCUGCUCAACGAGCUGGACGAGGCCGUGCAGUUCUCCAAUGCCUCAUACGAGGCUGCCAUCCUGGAGAAUCUGGCACUGGGUACCGAGAUUGUGCGGGUCCAGGCCUACUCCAUCGACAACCUCAACCAAAUCACGUACCGCUUCGACGCCUACACCAUCACCCAGGCCAAAGCCCUCUUCAAGAUAGACGCCAUCACGGGUGUGAUCACAGUCCAGGGCCUGGUGGACCGUGAGAAGGGCGACUUCUAUACCUUGACAGUGGUGGCAGAUGACGGCGGCCCCAAGGUGGACUCCACCGUGGUCUACAUCACUGUGCUGGACGAGAAUGACAACAGCCCCCGGUUUGACUUCACCUCCGACUCGGCGGUCAGCAUACCUGAGGACUGCCUUGUGGGCCAGCGAGUGGCUACUGUCAAGGCCUGGGACCCUGACGCUGGCAGCAAUGGGCAGGUGGUCUUCUCCCUGGUCUCUGGCAACAUCGCGGGGGCCUUUGAGAUCGUCACCACCAAUGACUCCAUUGGUGAAGUGUCUGUGGCCAGGCCCCUGGACAGAGAAGAGCUGGAUCACUACAUCCUCCAGGUUGUGGCUUCUGACCGAGGCACCCCUCCACGGAAGAAGGACCACAUCCUGCAGGUGACCAUCCUGGACAUCAAUGACAACCCUCCAGUCAUCGAGAGCCCCUUUGGAUACAAUGUCAGUGUGAAUGAGAACGUGGGUGGAGGUACUGCUGUGGUCCAGGUGAGAGCCACUGACCGUGACAUCGGGAUCAACAGCGUUCUGUCCUACUACAUCACCGAAGGCAACAAGGACAUGACCUUCCGCAUGGACCGCAUCAGCGGUGAGAUCGCCACAAGGCCUGCCCCGCCUGACCGCGAGCGCCAGAGCUUCUACCACCUGGUGGUCACUGUGGAGGACGAGGGCACCCCAACCCUGUCGGUGAGCGAUGGGGGUGGCCACAGGGAGGAGCGGGUGGGCCAGGGCAGCUCCGCCUCCGAGUGAGGGGAACAAGAUGGGUGGGAAUGGAAUUCCACACAGCAGGCGAAUCCUUGAC